CAAACAGUACGUGAAACCGUCAGGGGGGAAACGAACGAGGUUGGUGCAGUGCCCGCGCAGGUUCAAGCCCUGCCGAGGGUGCCAUCGCGGUGAUGAAAUCAUCCCGUGAUGUCCACCCGAGGCAGUGCCGUAUUCCUCGUGGGCACGGACCAGCAGCGGUUAGAGCGGAGCCACAAGGCACGGUGGAAGGUGAGUUGAUGCCGGCCUGUCCUGCAUUGACAGCUUAUAGCCCCGUUGUCCGGCGCUCCGGAUUGACCGAGGAAGAUGGGCAGCCAUUGCCCGACGCGGCACACGCCACACGGCGGGGCCCUCCGACACGAGUGAACCGUACGGUGUGGACUGCACGCAGUGCUAGCCGUGGCGGCGAUCUCGUGUCGGUGUGUGCCACUUGUGUGCCAGAGCUGCUGGUAUUCAGACGGCCUCGUCCGA
This 429-nucleotide small RNA is filed under the name Demospongiae sp. GW7596. RNAcentral's name for it is "partial large subunit ribosomal RNA". Lineage: Eukaryota; Metazoa; Porifera; Demospongiae. The record is from RNAcentral.